Molecule: unclassified non-coding RNA, 370 nt
Filed under: uncultured fungus
Lineage: Eukaryota; Fungi
Description: sequence contains ITS1
Rfam family: 5.8S ribosomal RNA (bases 1-105)
Source: RNAcentral
GAAAUGCGAUACGUAGUGUGAAUUGCAGAAUUCCGUGAACCAUCGAAAUUUUGAACGCAAAUUGCGCCCGCGUCCUCGGACAAGGGCAUGUCUGCCUCAGCGUCGGCGUACCCCCUCUUGCACACCCUCGUGUGCGCAAGGACCUGGCCCCCUCGAGCCUAAACACUCGGGCCGGCUGAAGCACAGAUCGCUUGAGCAGGGACACCGCUCAAGGACGAUGGCUUGGUAGGUAGGCACCCCCUACACCGCCUGCCGUCGUCCAGGUGCCCCAGCUGGAAGCAGUCACCUUGGGCUUUGGAGCUAUCCAAAGAUCUACCCAAACCUCUACACCUUCGACCUGAGCUCAGGCAAGACCACCCGCUGAACUUAA